GCCUGCCCAGUGAUUAUAUUUUAACGGCCGCGGUAUCCUAACCGUGCAAAGGUAGCACAAUCACUUGUUCUUUAAAUAAGGACUAGUAUGAACGGCACCAUGAGGAGCAACUUGUCUCUCAUGAUGAAUCUAUGAAACUGAUCUCCCAGUGCAAAAGCUGGGAUAAACUCACAAGACGAGAAGACCCUGUGGAGCUUCAAACUUAAAAUCACCUAUAUGAUAUACAGUUUUUAGUUGGGGCGACUUUGGAACAAACCUAAACUUCCAAACCUAUUACUCACGGCGUACACGCCUAAACCUAAAAUCAAACGACCCAAUACAAUUGCCUAAUGAACCAAGUUACCCCAGGGAUAACAGCGCAAUCUUCUUUUAGAGUCCCUAUCGACAAGAAGGUUUACGACCUCGAUGUUGGAUCAGGAUAUCCAAAUAGUGCAGCCGCUAUUAAAGGUUCGUUUGUUCAACGAUUAAUAUCCUACGUGAUCUGAUUUAAAACCGG
RNAcentral lists this ribosomal RNA (496 nucleotides) under Amphisbaena anaemariae. Its description in RNAcentral is "partial 16S ribosomal RNA". It matches the Rfam family "Bacterial large subunit ribosomal RNA", at positions 1857 to 2619 of the family's 2925-position model. Lineage: Eukaryota; Metazoa; Chordata; Lepidosauria; Squamata; Amphisbaenidae. The record is from RNAcentral.